GCAAAACGCGAAGAACCUUACCAGGUCUUGACAUCCCGCUGCCCGCUCUAGAGAUAGAGUUUUCCCUUCGGGACAGCGGUGACAGGUGGUGCAUGGUUGUCGUCAGCUCGUGUCGUGAGAUGUUGGGUUAAAGUCCCGCAACGAGCGCAACCCCUUGAUCUUAGUUGCCAGCAUUCAGUUGGGCACUCUAAGGUGACUGCCGGUGAUAAACCGGAGAAGGUGGGGAUGACGUCAAAUCAUCAUGCCCCUUAUGACCUGGGCUACACACGUGCUACAAUGGACGGUACAGAGGGGUCGCAAACCCCGCGGGGUGGGAGCAAAUACCCUACUAAAACCGUUAACUUCAGUUCGGAUUGUAGGCUGCAACUCGCCUACAUGAAG
This 381-nucleotide ribosomal RNA is filed under the name uncultured bacterium. RNAcentral describes it as "bacterial SSU rRNA". It matches the Rfam family "Bacterial small subunit ribosomal RNA", at positions 954 to 1325 of the family's 1533-position model. The record is from RNAcentral.